AUUGAAGUACACAUACUACACAAAAAAAAUUAUAUAUAAGAAAUCCUCAUUAAGCAAAUAAUGUCAACAUACAACAAUACUCAUGCAUAAAAGCUCUAAAAUCCAAACAUUAUAAAAUACAAAUGUCUAAUACUAAUAAAUAAAGUCUAAUUCAAUAAAUACUUAAACAUAGUAAUAAAUAAAGUUUGGAGUUCCCUAAUACUAAUAAUCAUGAUAAGGAUUAAGCGAAAUCAAAGGUUCUUCAUCUUGUUGCACUUGAUUAUUGUCCUACAACUCUUAGUUUGAUUCAAGUUGGCCUUCUUUGCCUCAACUAGGCCUUCAAUUAUGAAUCUUCAGGCCAUUCAUGUUCUCAGUGAAGUCCUCUUCAGAAGAUUGGCUUCUAAGGUGACCACUUUUCAAAUGUAACUCAUUAGCUUUGUCAACUGAAUCCAUCUACAUAUAACAAAGUGAAUCUCCUUAGAUAUUAUUUAACGUCUUGUAAUUACAUUACAUAAACUAUUAGAGUGAGUAUACAUGAGUGAAAAUUUUUAAGUGAUUGGGCAACCUAAACUUUAGUUUUAAUAUUUUAUAAUUAAUUAUUUUUAAAUCCAUAUGUAAAAUCAAUAGGUAAAUUUUUUUUCACGAAUGCACUAAAUGUACAUAUGAAUUUUACAUACGGAAAACCAAAAAAAGAUAUUUUUUGCAACAUCUACGAAAAAAAUUGUAUGUAAUAGUUUUACAUAUCCAUCGACAAAAUCCGUAUGUAAUACCUACUUUACCUAUGGAUCCUAAUUUGUAUGUAAAUAUCUUUAGACAACUCAUAAUUUUCUUGUGGCAAAAAUGUAAUGUAUUGUGAAAUCUAAUCUAUAUUAAAAAAUUUUGAAUAACAUGAAUUUGGGUUUAAAAGUUUUAACAAAAAUAGAUGGAGAUAGUGCCGUCAAAAUGGGUUGAAACCCGUGAGCCAGCCUGGCUCACCACAGGUUUGAGCCGGGUUGGGUUGGAAAAAAAUGCGAAAAUUUUGAUGCGAGCCAAUUUUGACCCGGCUCACUUAGAACCCGACUCAUGCGGGUUGAAUCCGCGGUGGGUCGGGUUGGCUCACCAACCCACCUAUUUUUUUAAUUAAAUCAAAUUAAUUAUUCAAAUCCUAUUUUUUAUUGAAAUCAAAUUAAUUAAAUUAAUUAUUCAAAAUGCACAACCUUUAUUUAGGUUAUUUUUACAAUAUUUAAACAUCCUAUAUAUACAAUAUUUAAACAUAUACGAUAUUUUUACAAUAUUUAAACAUCCUAUAUAUACAAUAUUUUUACAAUAUUUAAACAUCCUAUAUAUACAAUAUUUAACGAUCCUAUAUAUACAAUAGUUUUACAAUACUUUUAAUAAUGAAUAACACGAAAAAAUAUAUACAAUAUUUGUACAAUCACUUAUUUACUUCAUCAAACACUUUUCAUUGUUUAAUAUACACAAUCAUAGCAAUAUAAAAUCAUAUAAAAUAUCCUAUAUAAAAACAUCCUUUAUGUAACUAAGAUUUUUCAGUUUCUUUAUAUUAAUUAUUUCAAAAUAAACACAUGUUACUUAUGAUAACUAAGAUUUUUUUUUAUAUUAAUAAAUACAAAAUAAACACAUGCUACUUAAUAAUUUGAAUUCUUCAGUUUUUUAAAUUUCUUUUAUAUCAAUUGGUUCAAUUAUUAUUGUUUUAAUUUAAUCGAUCAAAGUAACAUGUUAUAAGAAUCUCAGAAGAAGAGGGUGAUAAAAAGUUAAGUGAGUCAAUGAGUCAACCCAUGGUGAGUCGGGUCGGGUUUGAAUUUUUUCGGCUCGCUAAUAAAUGAGCCGGAUUGGGUUGGCUCACUAAGUAGCCAACCCGUGAUGAGUCGGGUCGGGUUGGGCCGGGUUACCCAUUUUGACAGCUCUAGAUGGAGAUGUUACUAAUGUAAACAUUGACACUAUAACAGCUAAUUAUUGUUACGUAGUAUGCCUUUCUUUCUUUAAAUUAUGCAUUUAUGUAUGAUUCUUUAUACGUUAAAUUAUAAAAUUUAUAAUAUGGUCAUUUAGAUCUAUUUUAGCCAAUCCCAAAUAUUCAAACAUUAUCACUAAAAUCAAUUUAUAAGUUGAUAUGGUGUGAUAGAUUGACAAAUUUUAUGUGAUGUAUUAAUUGCUUGAGUGUUUUGUGCUUGGACUACAAUGAGUGAGAAAAAUAAGGAAUCAAUCAUUUGAUCAAAUUGGUGUUCAUUCUGACAUUAAGAAUUCUUUUUUAAUCGAGUAUUGAGUCAAGAAUAUCAAUUUCAUCAUCUUAAGAGGCUCCUGGUUUCCCAAAUCACAUAUUUGAAAUGGAGAUUUUCUGAUAUAGCGUUGAGCAAGACUGAUGUGCACUAAGCGCUAGCUUGAGGUUUUAUAUCUAGAAGCAUUUUAGCUUCAAACAAUUGAGCGCCACUUUUUUUCUGUGAGUGACCACUUUUGAAAAAAAUAAUUAUAUUAAUUUAAAAAAAAUAUUUAAAAAGAUAAUAUCAUACUAUAGUCUUAAUUAAUUAAAUAAAUUUAACUAAUACAUAAAUUUAUUUCGUAGGUAAAUUAGUUUCAAAGUAGGUUUAAUGGUGCAGUUAUUUAAUUUAGUCACUCGGUUAAUGUUUUAUUGCAUCAAUUCUAGGCAUAAUUUUUGUCAAUAUUUUAAAUUUGCACAUAUUUUUAUUUUAAAUCUAUAUUUUAAUAUUGGUAUCAAACUUUGGUAUAUAAACAUCGUCAUCUUGGUUUUUGUCCAAACAUGAUAAUUAUUCCGUUGUGCCGCUCUGAUAAUUGAUAUCAAAGCUUGCUUUGAUAGUUAUUCAAUUUUUUUUUUCAAAAAUGUCUAGAUAAUAUCAAACAUUUGCACAAAGUGCUUCAAUUGACAGACCUCUUCUUUUUGUUGGGAAAAACUAUACUUUUGAAAAAUAAGAAUGCAAACAUUUUUAGAGUCUGUCGAUAUAGGUAUUUGGAAUACUGUUAAAAAUGGUCCUUUUGUUCCUACUAUCAUUGUAAAUAACGUGUAGGAGCCUGAGACCUAUGACUAAUGGACUAUUGAUGAAAAAAAGAAGGCUCAAUGAUGGAAGCGGCCUCCACUUUCAAGAACGGAGCGACUUCUCGAAUCAGAAGUGGCAGCGGAAUGGAGAAUGGCUUGAAGGUGUUCGGUGCAUGCAAGGUGUUUGAGGAAAUGUGUGACUGUGUUUGGAUGUGUGUGUGAGGUAGAGUUCUAACUCAGAAGGCUUUCCUAAGGGGAAAAGAGCUAGAGGAAGAAAGGCUAGAGUAUCUCUUCAUCAAGCUCUGCAUCAAGCAUUAACGACGAUAUAGCUAGAAGUCAAGUAAGUACCUUUAGCUAUUUUGAUAAUUUUAAUUGAAGUACCUGUAAAACACUAGAAGGAUGAGCGCGAGAGGGGGGGUUAAAAUUCCUUUCGCAAUUCUUUUAAUAUAACACGUUUGAAGAGUUUUGGAUUUGCCAAAUGAAUACUUAAAUGCUCGACAUUGUAAAUGCAUAAAGCUUUUCAUAGCUAAAGGGUAUUUAGUUUAACUCUCAAGAAAAUGAAACAAUGUCAAGACGGUGUCAUUGACAAAACACUCUAAAAGACUAAAACUCAAAACACUAAAGAAAACGCAAACAAUGCUAAAUGUUGUCUACCUAUAAAGGAAAAAUCAGAAGAAGCGUUUACUUUGUCUAAAUGAUACCCUGAGCUAAAUGUUACUUUGUCCAACGAUGAAGUUUUUACUCAAUGCUUAGUAUCCUUAGAAGAAAAACUUAAUUGUCAAAGAAAACUAGCAUGCAAAAAAAAUGAAAGGAAGGAGGAGAAAACCAACUUACUCUAUUUGAGAAACUGAUUAGUUUAACUUGCAGAUCUCAAUAUGAGGAUCAUUCAAGCAAUCAGAUAAUUCUAGAAAAGUGAUUUCUAGAGAGAUAGUAUAUCUUAAAAUUAUGAAACUCGUUUAUAAUGAAACUGUUUAUAUUAAAAUCCUUUAAUAUUAAAAUAAUUGACUCUCACUGUUUUAAACCACUCUCAUUUCUAAAAUGUCAUUUUCUAAAUCUUUAUACAUAUUUUAUGUGGAAAGGCAUAUAUCUAUUAAUAAAAACCCUUACGAAAACAUUAGUAUAUAAAGAUUAAAUAAAAUUUUGUUCCUAAAUUAAAAUUAAUUGAACCACAAACUAAAAUUAAUUUAUACAUGAAGUAAUAAUCUUUUCUAAAAAUAGUUCAAAACGUCAUUGUGUCCGUAAACUUUAUUUUUUUAUGUAUAAUAAAAGGUUUAAUACAUAUUUUGAUCCCUCUUUUGGGGGUUUGGUUCAAAAUCAUCCCACUUUUGAAAAAAAUUCUUUAAGGUCCCAUAUUUCAUUAAAAAAUGUUCAAUAUGGUCCUUUUCGUAGACGUCGUUAAAAUCUUAACGGCACAAUAGCUAGCGUGGCGAAACCUGUAUGAGCUGUUUACUUUUAUGCUUACGUGGCUCUCUGAAGUGAAGUGAGUUGGCAAAAAUGUUUAAAGUUGAGGUUGUUAUGUGUAACAAAAGGGUGGGAUAGAAAUGAGUGAAGUGAGUUAGAAACAGUGAAGUGAAGUGAGUUAGGGUUGAACCAUGCCGUUAGCCGCGAAUGCCGCCAGCCGCCAACGUCGUCAACUACGAAUGGCCCUUGCCGUGACCAGAUAUGUCGCCGCCAGGCACCGCACCAGAGAAGGAGGAAGCUUGUCCAUGGUAGCGCCUCUGCCGUUGCGUCGCACCGAGUAACGGCUAUCGCUACUCCGCGAGCUUUCUGAAACGUGAAAUUAAAAUUGCUAGCACCGCCGUCUUUCGCUGCUGCGAGCAACUGCGCUUCUUGCCAGAGUUCACCGUCGCCAGAGAGCAAACGAAAAAAAACUAAAGAAAAUCAGAAAACUAACAACCAUGGAAGGCAAAGCAAGUCGUCGAACACAACUCCACUACAAAGGCGCCACCGCAGCAAGCGUAACCCAUCGGGAAAGAAGCUUUCGCACCUCCGACGACCAUUCUUGCACAAGAACCCCAUUGCAGACGAAAUGGGCCAACUUAAAAACCCAAACAACCGCGACCCAGUUCUUCUUCGUGACGAAAAACGCAAAUGGAGAAAAAGAAAACCAUCGAACUAGAAAUCAGAAUGAAGCAUGGUGAAGAGCACUGAAGGAGAUGAAGCGAGGUUCAACAGAGGUGCGAUGCACCAGAAGGCCAACAACCAUUUCCAAUUUUGGGGUUUCAAAUUGGGAAUUUUCCCAAUUUAAAUUUCUCAUUUUAAUUAGCGUUCUUAAUUGGGUUUCUCCAACACUGCCAGAAAAGAAGAAGGAAACCAGUAGAGUUUCAAUUUGGUGCUUCCCAAAUUAGGUUUCUCAGUAAUUGUAAUCAGCAUAUUCAAUAAUUAGGUUUCUCCAGCACCACCUCAACUUUAAACAUUUUCGCCAACUCACUUUACUUCACUUCACAGUGUCACAUAAGCAUUGAAGUAAACAACUCAUAAAGGUUUCGCCACGUUAGCUACUAUGUCGUUAUGAUUUUAACAGCGUCUACGAAAAGGACCAUGUUAAAUACUUUUUAAUGAAAUAUGAGACCUUAAAGAACUUUUUUCAAAAUUAGGAUGAUUUUGAACCAAACCCCUCAAAAAAAGGAACCAAAUGUAUUAAACCAUAAUAAAAUUAGGAAAAUGUUUCGUGCGCUCCUAAAAUAUUAAUCUACACCUAAAGAAAAAAGUAAUGAUAAAAAAAAAUUAGAUUUAUAAAAUAUACAAUAUAAUAACAAAAGAAUAAAAAAAUAUGUAUAAUAAAUAAAGGUAAUUUUGUAUCCUAUCCAUUAAAUUAAGUCAUAGUAGUUACUCGAAAAUUUACGAUAUAAGUUAAGUUUCCUUAAAAUCAAUUUAGGAUAUACAGAAAGCAUUUUAAGUUUGUUUCUGUAAUUCAUUAAGUUUAAUGUCACAAUUUUGAGAUAACAGAUUUUCUAAGUUGAACACGGCAUAUUAGACCUGAGCAUCGUUGAUGAAUUCCAUGUAACUCAAAUUUAAUAUUUUAAAAUUUAUAGUUAACUAUAUAAUUUAUUAUUUUAUGUUGUGAAUUAAUUUCGUUAGACUAUUUACAUUAUGAAUUAAUUCAAUUCGAUAAUUUAGGUGUAUUUAUAUUAAAUAACGUUUUUUCCAAAAGAUAUAUAUAUUUAUUUUGAAUAAACAAAAUAAAUAUAAUAAACCUUUUUGGUUUAAUGUUUUCGGAGAUUUCUAUUUCUACAUAUUUGUAUCAAUUAGAUUUUCAUAUUCUGAAAAUACUCAAUUGGGUCUUUCUACAUAUUUAUAUUUAUUGGAUCUUAGUAUUUUCAAACUACUGAAUUAGGUCAUUGUAUUAAAGAAUUUUAUUUAAAAUUUAAAAUAAAAUAAAUUUCAUCACAUGUACCACGUGAUAAUUAAUUGUUUAAUUGUUGGAUCACAUGUCACUAUACACUAAAAUUAAUACCGUCCAUUAAAAUUAUGACAAACAUAUUAUUAAUUCAAUUUUACCAAAAUACGAACCUGAACAUCUUUAGAAUACAAGAACAAUACAAAUUCUCUAAAAUAGAGACUUCCGAGAAUAUUAAACAUAAAUCUUUAACUUAAAAUUAUAAUAUAUUAUUUUAAUAAUUAUUAUUAUAAUAAAUUAUUUUAUAUAAUUUACUAUUAAAUUUUAACAAGCAAAUUUCACAUCAACGUCUUUAAAUUUAUAAAUAUUAAAAAUAUAAAAAAAUUAUGUCUAAAUGUUCAUGUAGUUUUAAUUUAGUUUAGUUUUAAUUAUUUAUCCAUAUUAUUUAUAAUGUUAUACUAUAAUAUAAAUUGGUUUAUCCUUAAAUACAUUAAUUUUUCACUUUUGUUCUUUAAAUAAUUACUUUUUAAAAUUAAAAUUAUUAAAUUAUUGAUUUUACCGUUAAAUGACUGUUUUUUAAAUUAAUUAAUUUUUCCAUUUAACUAUUUUUCUAAAUUUAAGUUUUUUAAAAAUUAAAAAAACUAUUUUAUUAUUUUCUAUUAUCAUAAAAAAAAAUUAAAAAAGCAUGUAGUUUCUCAAAUUAUUUUUAUUUAACAUUAUCUGAUCCCUCCAACAAACCUGAAGUUAAUUAUUUUCCAGGCCUAAGACAGAUCCUAAAGUAUCAAACACCUCUUUUAUAAAGAAAGAAGUAAACCUUAAAACUCUCACAGGCAAAAAUCGAGAAAAUAAGUAAAUAAACAAGAAAUCAGUUAAUGAUCUUAAAAUUAAUUUACUUACAGAUCGAAGGAGAGAAAGAAGCCGCCGUACUUGUCUUCUCCGUUCGCCGGAAGCAGCCAUUGAAAGAUAGACAGUAAUCACACGCGUUGUCACAGCAGUGAUACAUGGAAUUGGUGGAAUAGGUAAAACAACAACUAACUAUAAGAUACCUGAGAUUACAGCGGUUGUUGCUUUACCUGACCCUCCAAUCCCAUAAAAUCCAACACAGAGAACCAAGUUUACGCAGAGAUCUCGUCUCGUCACGAACGUGUUGAGCAUUCGCACUGAAACCUUAUCGGAACAGAGAAGGUUAAUGAAGGAAAUUGGGAAAUAGAAAAAUAAGGGAGAAAGUAGUACUGGUUGUGGUAUUUAAAAUUGAGUGAAUGAGUGGGCAUGGACCUUCUUUUGGGCUUUAUAUCAGUGAACCUGACCUCAUGAUUCGUAAAUGUGAAAGGACAGGGCAUCUUUGUGAUUCCGUUAUUAGGACAAUAUAAUAUUUUUUUUAUAACAUUUUAAUAUCAUUUAUAUAUUUAUUGAUCUAAAAUUAUUUCAGAAUCAAUAAUAAUAAUCAUAAAU
Molecule: long non-coding RNA, 7757 nt
Filed under: Vigna radiata
Lineage: Eukaryota; Viridiplantae; Streptophyta; Magnoliopsida; Fabales; Fabaceae
Description: long non-coding RNA (VRAD_LNC000633)
Source: RNAcentral